ACUCCUGCGGGAGGCAGCAGUGGGGAAUUUUGGACAAUGGGCGAAAGCCUGAUCCAGCAAUGCCGCGUGAGUGAAGAAGGCCUUCGGGUUGUAAAGCUCUUUUGUCAGGGAAGAAACGGUGAGAGCUAAUAUCUUUUGCUAAUGACGGUACCUGAAGAAUAAGCACCGGCUAACUACGUGCCAGCAGCCGCGGUAAUACGUAGGGUGCAAGCGUUAAUCGGAAUUACUGGGCGUAAAGCGUGCGCAGGCGGUUUUGUAAGUCUGAUGUGAAAUCCCCGGGCUCAACCUGGGAAUUGCAUUGGAGACUGCAAGGCUAGAAUCUGGCAGAGGGGGGUAGAAUUCCACGUGUAGCAGUGAAAUGCGUAGAUAUGUGGAGGAACACCGAUGGCGAAGGCAGCCCCCUGGGUCAAGAUUGACGCUCAUGCACGAAAGCGUGGGGAGCAAACAGGAUUAGAAACCCUGGUAGUCCCA
Molecule: ribosomal RNA, 471 nt
Filed under: uncultured organism
Description: partial 16S ribosomal RNA
Rfam family: Bacterial small subunit ribosomal RNA
Source: RNAcentral